This 253-nucleotide ribosomal RNA is filed under the name uncultured bacterium. RNAcentral describes it as "partial 16S ribosomal RNA". It matches the Rfam family "Bacterial small subunit ribosomal RNA", at positions 524 to 776 of the family's 1533-position model. The record is from RNAcentral.
UACGUAGGGAGCAAGCGUUGUCCGGAAUCCUUGGGCGUAAAGCGCGCGUAGGUGGCUUCGUAAGUCCGUUGUGAAAGUCAAAGGCUCAACCUUUGAAAGCCGAUGGAUGCUGCGGAGCUAGAGUACGGAAGAGGCGAGUGGAAUUCCUGGUGUAGCGGUGGAAUGCGCAGAUAUCAGGAGGAACACCAAUAGCGAAGGCAGCUCGCUGGGACGUUACUGACACUGAGGCGCGAAAGCGUGGGGAGCGAACAGG